UCUUAUAAUGGAUCUCUCAGUCACAUCAACGCCCGAGUCUAUGGUGAUGAUAAUGUUUGUGCAAAGUGGAUGCCAAGUGACUGCACAAUCAAGGUUUCUGAGUAGUUGAAAUAGAUAAGUCUUGAGUCAAUCAGUACAUCUGUACCACAUUCAUGUGGCAAAUGCUGCUUUAUGGAGAUGUUUCUAAUACUGACCUACAAUAAUUCAGCCAAGAUCACGUUUCUACUGUCUUCAGGAAAUGAGAAAAAUGAAUCCAGGAAAUUUCCAUCUUUAACUAUACUCUGUAAAUGUGCUGUCCAAUACACAGAUAGCUACUGAGCACUGGAAUAUAGCUAGUCUGAAUGGAGAUGUUCUAAGGACGUGUUUGCUUCCCCUUCUGCCGUGACUGUAAGUUUCCUGAGGCCUCCCCAGCCCUGCAGAACUACUCCCUGUGGUGGCGACCAGUAUCUUCAAACUCAUACCAGAGUAAAGCCUUAUCCAUUUGGAGUUCUUUCUGAUGCAUUAUGUGAGAAAAACAAGCAAACAAAUGAACACUUAUUUGUAUUUGAAUUGCACUAAAUUUAUACAUGAAACUGAAAAAAACUGAUAUCUUUAUGAAGCUGCAUAAUCCUAUCCAAGGACAGACGUCUCCUUCCAUUUGCUUUUGCUUUACUAAUUUGAAUCUAUGUUAUUUGAUUCAGGGGGUACAUGUGCAGUUUAUGUGAUUACACUGCAUGAUGCUGAGAAUGGGGUAUGGAUCCUGUCACGCAGAUAUUUUGGAUACAUCUGGAAUUGACUUUUUUGCAUGGUGUAAGAAAUAACAGUUCUUCCUGGAUCAGCCCUCUCCCGUCUGUCAUCUCCAACAGAUACAAAGCCAGCUUUAAGAAGACCAAACCUACAAAAAUCAUUCAUGCUUUCUGCCUCCAUGUUUUUCUUUCCAACCUAGUUCCUCCAGAAAAUGUAAAAGAGCAACCGAACCGUCAACUGGUACAAUGACUUCUACACAUCAGACCUCGGCCACGCCACAGUCAUCAGAUUAUUCUAUCACAGGGUCUCUCAACCGUGGAAUAUGGUCUCCAAGGGAAACAAGCCACAGAGGGCUCAGGAGCAUUGCUAUAAAGAGUAGGCAAAUGGAAAUCUUUCCCCAAAGGGCACACUGGGAUUGUUAGGCGAGGGCUGCUCAAUCCAUUAAAAGUUUAAACUCGAAAAAAAAAAAGAAAAAAAAA
Long non-coding RNA from Homo sapiens (human), 1205 nucleotides. The record is from Ensembl. Lineage: Eukaryota; Metazoa; Chordata; Mammalia; Primates; Hominidae.